GCGGUUGUGGUGAAGCGGUUAACACUCUGGAUUGUGGCUCCAGCACUCGCGGGUUCGAUCCCCGUCAAUCGCCCCA
RNAcentral lists this transfer RNA (76 nucleotides) under Erysipelotrichaceae bacterium. Its description in RNAcentral is "tRNA-His". It matches the Rfam family "tRNA". Rfam says of the family: Transfer RNA (tRNA) molecules are approximately 80 nucleotides in length. Their secondary structure includes four short double-helical elements and three loops (D, anti-codon, and T loops). Lineage: Bacteria; Bacillati; Bacillota; Erysipelotrichia; Erysipelotrichales; Erysipelotrichaceae. RNAcentral also lists the same sequence under 1 other name. The record is from RNAcentral.